Molecule: microRNA precursor, 122 nt
Filed under: Podarcis lilfordi (Lilford's wall lizard)
Lineage: Eukaryota; Metazoa; Chordata; Lepidosauria; Squamata; Lacertidae
Source: RNAcentral
GUACACAUGCACGAAUCUCUCUCUCUCUCUCUCUCUCUCUCUCUCUCUGUGUGUGUGUGUGUGUGUGUGAGAGAGAGAGAGAGACAGAGAGAGAGAGAGAGAGAGAGAGUAUGUAUAUAGAU